Long non-coding RNA from Leucoraja erinaceus (little skate), 205 nucleotides. RefSeq lists it as uncharacterized. The record is from RefSeq and is a predicted model, not a curated record. The transcript has 3 exons. NCBI's taxonomy places the organism in Eukaryota, Metazoa, Chordata, Chondrichthyes, Rajiformes, Rajidae.
UGCAGGUCCGGCGAGCUGCUGACUUUGAGCGAGGUGAAAGAUUCAGCGGUUUCCCCCGCUGCCACGCCGUGCUGGCAGGUGGAGCAGUUCGUGGUGGCCGGUGAAUGCAGGAAGUGUACGCUCUUUGAGGUGAAGACCCUCCUGGCCUGCAUCAGGACCGCCUUUGUGAUGAAGAUCAACUGCCCCGAGUCUCGGAGGGAGGGAG